GAAAAGUUUGGGCAGGAUGGAGCCGACUCAGCUGAACUGCGCGCCAGAAGCCAGUGGGGAGUAAAAAAACGGGGAGAAGCAAAAGCAAGAAAGAGGAAGGAACUGAGAAAGUGAAAAUUACGUUUAAAAAUAAUAAUCUCCCAAYACAUGACGCCUGGUGGGGAAAGUCAAUGACUUUGCACGCUGAGGUGCAUCUCUGUGUGCUGCGGAUGGCAAAGCUGGAUAUAUUUUGCUGACUGGCUCUGUCUCAUCCCCCCUUCCUCCUCACCUGGCCAUCCGGAAAAGGAGAUGUUAUCUGAGGUGUUAUCUGAGAGGGACGGCACAGGCAUAUUUUGUAGCACAGAGACGAAGAGAAAUACAAGGUUUUUCUCUCUGGCUGAUGAGCGGGGACCAAACGUACCCAUUCUCUAGCAGGGUGCUCCCUCUCUCGUGCGCAGACUUUCUGAGUUGUGAGCAAGUACACCAAAGUCUUAGUUUUUCUACCUGA
Molecule: long non-coding RNA, 487 nt
Filed under: Dromaius novaehollandiae (emu)
Lineage: Eukaryota; Metazoa; Chordata; Aves; Casuariiformes; Dromaiidae
Description: lncRNA (ENSDNVG00000017420.1)
Source: RNAcentral